This 85-nucleotide small nucleolar RNA is filed under the name Gallus gallus (chicken). Its description in RNAcentral is "GGN11 snoRNA". Lineage: Eukaryota; Metazoa; Chordata; Aves; Galliformes; Phasianidae. The record is from RNAcentral.
UGCUCAAUGAUGAUCAUCCUCCUUUGAUUACCUGGUGAGGUAAUAUGAGAGGACAUGGAAUAAUUUCACCGGCGAACUGAGAGCA